CCAACUUUUACGGGAGGCAGCAGUGAGGAAUAUUGGUCAAUGGACGAGAGUCUGAACCAGCCAAGUAGCGUGAAGGAUGACUGCCUAUGGGUUGUAAACUUCUUUUAUAUGGGAAUAAGUGGAGUAUGUAUACUCUUUUGUAUGUACCAUAUGAAUAAGGAUCGGCUAACUCCGUGCCAGCAGCCGCGGUAAUACGGAGGAUCCGAGCGUUAUCCGGAUUUAUUGGGUUUAAAGGGAGCGUAGGCGGAUGCUUAAGUCAGUUGUGAAAGUUUGCGGCUCAACCGUAAAAUUGCAGUUGAAACUGGGUGUCUUGAGUGCAGUAUAGGCAGGCGGAAUUCGUGGUGUAGCGGUGAAAUGCUUAGAUAUCACGAAGAACUCCGAUUGCGAAGGCAGCUUGCUGGAGUGUCACUGACGCUGA
RNAcentral lists this ribosomal RNA (418 nucleotides) under uncultured bacterium. RNAcentral's name for it is "bacterial SSU rRNA". It matches the Rfam family "Bacterial small subunit ribosomal RNA", at positions 332 to 749 of the family's 1533-position model. The record is from RNAcentral.